UACGUAGGGGGCAAGCGUUAUCCGGAUUUAUUGGGUGUAAAGGGCGUGUAGGCGGGAAUGCAAGUCAGAUGUGAAAACUAUGGGCUCAACCCAUAGCCUGCAUUUGAAACUGUAUUUCUUAGUGCUGGAGAGGCAAUCGGAAUUCCGUGUGUAGCGGUGAAAUGCGUAGAUAUACGGAGGAACACCAGUGGCGAAGGCGGACUGCUGGACAGUAACUGACGCUGAGGCGCGAAAGCGUGGGGAGCAAACAGG
Molecule: ribosomal RNA, 252 nt
Filed under: uncultured bacterium
Lineage: Bacteria
Description: partial 16S ribosomal RNA
Rfam family: Bacterial small subunit ribosomal RNA
Source: RNAcentral